UUUUACUUAUUCCGGAAGAAACCUCCUAGAAUAAACCCGUAUAGGGAGAUUCAAACACGAGAAAUGACUAGUUGCUUAAGCGUUCACGUUAGGGUCACACAAUCAAUUAUCUCCUAAAUGUAUCAUCUCUAUUUUCAAUAUCUAAACACACAAAGAAACUAUAAUCUCCUCCUUCACCUUAUCGGUCUCUUCCUUACAACAAUUCAGUCAUAUCAAUAAUUACUAUUUCUACCAAUAUAUUCACCUUCAUAAUCUCCAACUAUAAUACUGCGCCCUCACAGCUUUCGGUACACAAUUACCCUCGUUCCAAUCAUUGGAAUUCUUCACACAAAACUGCCAUUCACAUUACAGUGUUUCACACAAACACAGACUCAUUCUCUCUUCUGAACUA
RNAcentral lists this long non-coding RNA (391 nucleotides) under Physcomitrium patens. Its description in RNAcentral is "long non-coding RNA (PPAT_LNC001828)". Lineage: Eukaryota; Viridiplantae; Streptophyta; Bryopsida; Funariales; Funariaceae. The record is from RNAcentral.